Molecule: non-coding RNA, 617 nt
Organism: Salvelinus sp. IW2-2015
Lineage: Eukaryota; Metazoa; Chordata; Actinopteri; Salmoniformes; Salmonidae
Source: RefSeq, a predicted model, not a curated record
UUACUUUAAAGUUUUUAACGAUAUAUUAGACAGUUCAUGUAGCGUCAUCAUGUUAUAAACUAAAUAUUAAAAACACUAAAUAGUAAAGGGUUUUAAAAAGAGACAAAUGUACCUGUUUUUUUUUUAUACUACUUUAUUAUGUAAUCUAAAAAUAAAACGACUAGAUAAAUACUCAACGAAAAAGUGGUUCACAACAAAAAGUGUAUUUUAAUCCAAAGUAAACGGAUUACGCUUUUAGAAUACAUAAUAUUUAUCUGGGAAACGUUAAAGAUUUGAAUAGGAUUUACACCGGAGAUCAAGUCAGGGGGUAGAGAUUACAGUUUCAACUGAAGACACUAGAGAUUCUUCUAUAUAUUAAUACAUUUAUAGUUGAGGUUUGUAUUUCUUAUUGCUUUCUUUGGCUUUCAGGAAGAGUGUUGCUGGGCUGGUAUGGUGAUAUAGUGUUGCUGGUAUGGUGAUAUAGUGUUGCUGGGCUGGUAUGGUGAUAUAGUGUUGCUGGGCUGGUAUGGUGAUAUAGUGUUGCUGGUAUGGUGAUAUAGUGUUGCUGGGCUGGUAUGGUGAUAUAGUGUUGCUGGUAUGGUGAUAUAGUGUUGCUGGGCUGGUCAUAUAGUGUUCCU